AUAAAUUAAGAUUUAAAAUGAAUUACCUUCAAAAUCCAUUUCGAUAAAAUAUCUUUAAUACUUUUGUUAUUAUCUUCGUCGGAAAGGCAAGCAUCUAAACUUCUGUUCUUGCUCAUCAGGUAAUAAACUGAGUGCUACUGACCGGGCGCUAGUUUUUCGGGAGCAGUUAUAGGGAUUUAGGAGUAAUCUUGGAGUCCCCCACCAUCAGGUAAAGUUUUUCGGGAGCGUUCCCGGAAGCGAAGUAUCGAAACACGAUGUUUUUAUCAAAGCGAAAACCGAUAAUAAACAGGUCCAUAAAAUCGGGACCGAAAUAAGAAAAUUAA
This is a long non-coding RNA of Onthophagus taurus, 323 nucleotides long. RefSeq lists it as uncharacterized. NCBI's taxonomy places the organism in Eukaryota, Metazoa, Arthropoda, Insecta, Coleoptera, Scarabaeidae. The record is from RefSeq and is a predicted model, not a curated record.